Molecule: RNA transcript, 2571 nt
Organism: Phalaenopsis equestris
Lineage: Eukaryota; Viridiplantae; Streptophyta; Magnoliopsida; Asparagales; Orchidaceae
Gene name: protein KRI1 homolog
Exons: 4
Source: RefSeq, a predicted model, not a curated record
UAAAUUUCCGACGCUUCCUUACGACAGCGCCGCUCGAAGAGAUCUACAGGUGCCGUCUUCUUCGCAAUACGUGAUGGGCAUCGAGCUCUUGGACGAUGACGACUCCAGCACCGAUGAAGCCGACUUAUCUAAGCUUGAGAUCAAUGAAGAUUUCGCCAAGCGAUUUGAGUACAACAAGAAGCGCGAGGCUCUCCAGAAGUGCGAGGAGCUCAGAAAGCGCGGCCUCAUCUCCGACUCCGACGAAUCUUCUGAUGAAUCUUCUGAAGAAGAAGAGAUAAAGGAUGACUACCAGUUCUACGACGCCCUUGUUAGGGUGAAGAAGAAUGACCCCAUUGUCAUGCAAAAGGACGCGAAGCUCUUUGCCUCAUCAUCCGAAGGUGAAGAAGAAGAGGAGGAUAAAAAGUCUGGGGUUACUAAAAAGGCGAAGCCUUUGUACUUGAAGGAUGUUAUGGCUAGGCAGUUGAUGGAAGAGGGGCCGGAGUUUGAAGAAGAGCCGCUGAAAAAGAACCCUAAGGUGUAUAGCAGAGAGCAGGUUGAAGGGCUUAAGGCUUUUCUUGAAGCGGAGAAGGAAGCAUUUGGUUCUGUUGUUGAUGAUGAUGAUGAUGGUAUGAUAAUUGAACAGAAAAAGGGCAAUAGAAAAGACACUGAGGAGAAUGAGGAUGGCGAGAUGAUACAUAAGAAGGUGGAUGAGUUCUUUGGAGAAGAUAAGGAUCUAACUGAAGAUGAGAUGUUCUUGAAAAACUAUUGUCUUAACAAAAUGUGGGUGAACAAGGAGAGGGAUAAAGAGACUUAUGAUGAUAUUGGGGUUUCAGAGGAUGAGGAUGAGCUGGAAAAACAGGAACAAUACGAAGCAGAGUACAACUUCCGACACGAGGAAGAAAAAGAGGAUAGAGUUUUAGGUCACUCUAGGAUUGCAGAUGGUUCAGUGAGGAAGAAAAGCAGCAGCAGAAAGACACAAAGGAAGAACAAGGUAGAGAGGAUGGCGCAAGCAGAGUUUGAGAGGAAGGAGGAGCUGAAACAUCUGAAAAAUUUGAAGAAGAAAGAGAUUCAGGAGAAGCUUGAGAGUAUUCUUGUUACCGCAGGGAUUGGCAAGGAAAGUGCCUACAAUCUUGAUGCUGCUUAUCUUGAGGAAGAUUUUGAUCCAGAAGAAUAUGAUAAAGCCAUGAAAGAGAUGUUUGGUGCAGAUUAUUACAAUACUGAGGAUGUUGAUCCUGGCUUUGGAAGUGAUGGCGGGGAUGACCUGGAAAAGCCAGACUUUGAUAAGGAAGAUAAACUUAUAGGUUUGACAGAAGGUUGGGAUUCAGUUGAUACAAUGGAGGGGUUUGAGGGUAUGAGAAAGUUGUUGUUGAAAAAAAGUGAUGAAGAGGAAGAGCCCUCCCACAUCGAAGGCAAGAGGAAGAGAAAGCAAAAGAUUUCUCUAAGAGAAAAAGUGGAACUUGACAAGGAACUUGAGGAGUAUUAUAAGUUGGACUAUGAGGGUACUAUAGGAGAUCUGAAAACUAGAUUCAAAUAUAGGUCUGUGUCAGCCGAGUCAUAUGGGCUUCAAGUAGAGGAGAUAUUAAUGGCGAAUGACAAGGAUUUGAAUCAGUAUGUUUCUUUAAAAAAGUUAGCCCCUUACCGCGAGAAGGAGUGGAAGGUGACAUAUCACCAAAAGUUGAAGAAGAAUAUGUUUCUUCAAGGAGGGAAGUCAGAUGAUAAAAUUUAUAGCAAGAAGCACAGGACAGAAGAGACCAGAAGUCAUAAAUUUAGAGAACAUAAGGAACCUAAUGAAGAUGCAAAUACGUUGUCCAAGCGCAGCAAAAAGAGGCGCAUGCAUGCCCAUUUGAAAUUAUCCAAAUCUAGGUUAUUAGCUUAUGGAAAAAUCCCCUCCAAGCAGCAUAAAAAUCAUUAAAGAAACAUGACAAGCAACGGAGAGGAAGAACGAAACAAGGAAGGUGGAGGCGGAGGCAGCAGCUCUGCUGGUGGUGGUUCUCCUAGUCCGAAUCUCUAAUGGAGGUUCAAUCAGACACUUAGAAGCGUUUUUAAGAGAAUUUAGUUUUGGUCAUUGCUGAAAUGAUAAUUCCCAGCGUUGGAUGGUUCUGGUGAAUAAAAUCAUGAUGUGUACUACUGAUUUUCUCACAAACUACAUCUGUUUGUUGAUUUGGAGAGAGAGACUGUUGAAGCACUAUACAGAGAGCUAGCUGUGCUUGGUCUGAUUUGGAUAAAUUUAGCCUUCUCAUGCUGAAUCAUUAGUUCAUGUCAAUGUCAGCUUAUAAUUUUGGUGUUUUAUAUCUGAACAUCAAGCUAUUACAAAUUGUUUCUAUUUAUCCUUAUUUUGGCUUUUCUUUUUUGUUAUUUCCAUUCGCUUUGUUUUUUUGUUGCCGUUGUCAUCUCAUUGUCGUCGUGAUUUCUUUGUCAAAGCAGAUUAAGAUUUGUAUGUAUUUCAGCGCACUUCCACAUAACUGUCUUUUAUUAGAGAAAAUAUUUUGUCCGGACAUCGCUAGUCCGGGGGGAAUAUUUCUUCCUUUUAUUAAGCAGCCGUUUGGUGGCAUUUGGUCGCCUAAUUGAAGGGUGUAAUGUAAAUCAGAUAAA